This 850-nucleotide ribosomal RNA is filed under the name Rhytidhysteron neorufulum. Its description in RNAcentral is "partial large subunit ribosomal RNA". It matches the Rfam family "Eukaryotic large subunit ribosomal RNA", at positions 72 to 941 of the family's 3401-position model. The record is from RNAcentral. Lineage: Eukaryota; Fungi; Ascomycota; Dothideomycetes; Hysteriales; Hysteriaceae.
GGAUUGCCUCAGUAACGGCGAGUGAAGCGGCAACAGCUCAAAUUUGAAAUCUGGCUCCCCUGGGGGCCCGAGUUGUAAUUUGUAGAGGAUGCUUCGGCGUGGGCCCCGGUCUAAGUUCCUUGGAACAGGACGUCACAGAGGGUGAGAAUCCCGUACGUGGCCGUGGGUGCUCGCCAUGUGAAGCUCCUUCGACGAGUCGAGUUGUUUGGGAAUGCAGCUCUAAAUGGGAGGUAAAUUUCUUCUAAAGCUAAAUACUGGCCAGAGACCGAUAGCGCACAAGUAGAGUGAUCGAAAGAUGAAAAGCACUUUGGAAAGAGAGUCAAAAAGUACGUGAAAUUGUUGAAAGGGAAGCGCUUGCAACCAGACCUGCCUGCGGUUGCUCAUCCGGGCUCCUGCCCGGUGCACUCUUCCGCAGUCAGGCCAGCAUCAGCUCUGGCGGUCGGAUAAAGGCGGCGGGAAUGUGGCUCCCCUCGGGGAGUGUUAUAGCCCGCCGUGCAAUGCGGCCAGCCGGGACUGAGGUCCGCGCUUCGGCUAGGAUGCUGGCGUAAUGGUUGUAAGCGGCCCGUCUUGAAACACGGACCAAGGAGUCUAACAUCUGUGCGAGUGUUUGGGUGUCAAGCCCAGGCGCGUAAUGAAAGUGAACGGAGGCGGGAACCUUCGGGUGCACCGUCGACCGAUCCUGAUGUCUUCGGAUGGAUUUGAGUAAGAGCAUAGCUGUUGGGACCCGAAAGAUGGUGAACUAUGCCUGAAUAGGGUGAAGCCAGAGGAAACUCUGGUGGAGGCUCGCAGCGGUUCUGACGUGCAAAUCGAUCGUCAAAUUUGGGCAUAGGGGCGAAAGACUAAUCGAACU